Molecule: ribosomal RNA, 253 nt
Filed under: uncultured bacterium
Lineage: Bacteria
Description: partial 16S ribosomal RNA
Rfam family: Bacterial small subunit ribosomal RNA
Source: RNAcentral
UACAGAGGUCCCAAGCGUUGUUCGGAUUCACUGGGCGUAAAGGGUGCGUAGGCGGUCGGGUAAGUCUGAUGUGAAAUCUCGAAGCCUAACUUCGAAACUGCAUUGGAUACUAUUCGGCUAGAGGAGUGGAAGGGAGACUGGAAUGCUCGGUGUAGCAGUGAAAUGCGUAGAUAUCGAGCGGAACACCAGUGGCGAAAGCGAGGUCCUGGACGUUUUCUGACGCUGAGACGCGAAAGCCAGGGGAGCGAACGGG